UCCAAACCACAUCUGUGGGCUACACCACAGCUCACGACAGCAUCAGAUCCUUAACCCACUGAGUGAGGCUGGGGAUUGAACCUGUGUCCUCAAGGAGUCUAGUCAGAUUUGUUUUUGCUGAGCCCACUGAGAAACUUUGAAAGAAGUCAGGGUGGUUGCUCUUCUGUAAUAUCCAUCUCAAGACUAAAGAUGAGCUGUGUUAGCAUUCUCCCAAGUGUGCUUCACAAAAUGCUUGUUCCAGGAAAUGCUAUAGAAAAGAAAGAUUUUGAGUUCAGGGUUGGGGACAAACUUAUACGACAUAUAUGCCACCCUUCUUCCAUUGGUCCCUUGGAUAUUUACAAAGUGCUUUGGCUUAUAAAAGGCACUUACAUACUCGGAUCAUUCUUUAACUCAGAAUUUCUCUCAUUUACCAGGUGAUCUGACCACUGUCCUCAGCUUCCUACAGCAUUUCAUUUGGGAAAUGCUGUUUGAUAUUUUCACAGUAUUUCACUUUAAAAAUUCAUUCCUCUUUUAUGUUUUUUAAAUUGUAGGCUCGUCAACUUUCUGUUGGGAUACUGAUAAUGACUAAUAUUUUAUAACAAAAAAGUGUAAGAUCUGUAUUUAACAUAUGUCUGAUUUCUCCUAUACCUGCGUUCACAGAUAGAAGUUUUGUGACUUCACGGCAGCACCUUACUGUGAGAGACAAAAUCUAGUAAAUAACGAAAUCAUUUGUUUCUCACUCACCUGGAAUACGGUGGCAGAGGUGGGUGAGGGUUCUGCUCCUUAUUUAAGAACUCGGGUUGAAGGAAAUGUUGCCAUUUGUGUUGUAGUGGCUUCGCAAAUCACCUUGGGCGUUGCGUCUAGCCAGAAAAGGGGGAGCAAGAGAGUACAAAGAAUUGUGAGGGAAAUUCACGUGGAACUGGCCUAUUCUUUACACACAUGUUCCACUGAUGAGGAUUCAGCCAUAGGACCUUGACCGUGGAAGACUGGAUGUGCUAUUCCUGGCUGAGUGGCGGCUUUCAAGCAGCAGCUCCAAAAUAGGGAGAACCUCAAUUUUUGUUGAAAAACUAGCUCUCUACAAACCUGUAUUUAUGCAUAUGUAAGUGGUGAGUGUGAUUUUUCUCACUUUGUGUUAAUCGUAAGUUAUCUCAUUUGAUUCUUACAUGGACUCUGUUGGGAUCAGUAGGGCAGGUAUAAAUCCCUUAAUUUACAAACAGUAAUGCAGUCCUGAAUUAAAUGAUUAUAGUAGGAUAAAUAGAUUCUGUGUGUCACAUGUGUUAGGAGGGGUUUUAAUCAAUUAUUUUUGUAGUUGUUAAAAUAUUGUUAGCCUGAAUUACAUUUUUUAGGGGAAAUUCACACUUUCCAGAGGAGAGGUUUUUUGAACUUGGAACCUUCUUCUAAUUUACUGAGAAAUUAUCAGAAGUGCCCCAGGCUGCUCUCUGUUGAAAGAGUCUAAUAAAAAAGGUUUAUUUGAAAAAAAAAAAAAGUUGAAAUAAUUUCUAUUCAUUGACUGACAGUGGUCAGAGUAGGAAUAUUAAUGAGGCUAAGCUCAUUCUGCUGCAGGAUGGGCUGGUAAAUUGAAAGAUGAAUUGUUGGGACAAGGCAUAGCAAUUCUCUUUGGAAAGGGGAAAGAUGGUGAACUGGUAUCCCAAGAAACGAUCCUACCAGAGUUAGAAUUCAGGCUUCUUUUUCACUAAAAGAGGCGGGCGUGUGGCUGGUUGCUGCACACUUCUUGGUGCUUCAAUCCUUUGUCCUUUGUUCGUGCAGCUGUUCAUGUUGGUCUGGUCACAAUGUUCCUAUAAACCUCCGACAAGACAACUAUUAUUCUCUAUUCUGCAACUUUUUUUCUCUAUGUGAAUGGAGGAGUGUUAUGCAUUUAAAGGUCAGAGCCAUGAGAAUGGGCUAUCCUGUAUAUUUCAGGCUAAGGCAACAUCCUAUUACAAAGGUGCAGAGCCAGCAUGACGAAGCACAGGCAACAGAGCAUAAAGGUCUGGAAGAGUCAUUCAGAAAACUGCAUGGGAACAUCCACGUGAAAGAAGGGGUUCGACUUGUGCUGGGGUUCGACUUGUGCUGUUGGGUAACUGUCCCUGGAGAAGGUAAGAUUGUAUCUGGUUCUGCAGGGAGGGAAGGACUUUGACCUGUGUUUACAUGGUGGGAAUAGUGGUUGACUGGGUCUUGCAGAUUGAGUGAGCACAUACCUUGAGCAAAGAAUCAGAGCUUUAUAUAUCCAGAGUGAUGAAUUUAGAUGCAUUGUUAAACUUUUAAAAAUUAUAAGCAUUCCCAUUUAUUGAGCACUUGACAGUUGCCAGGCACUGUGUUGUUGUUACCAAAACAAACUUGGUUCUGCUCACCCAAAGUGCAGUAAAACCAAUGUACUGACACCAGGUUGUGGUGAAGGGAAAUGCAGCGUUUAUUGAAGGGCACCAAACAAGGAGAAUGGAAAGCUCAUGCUCAAAAGAACUGGGUUCCCUGAUGUUUUCAGGGAAGGGGUUUUAAAGACAGUGUGAAAGAGGACUCUGCAGGGUGCAUGAUAAGCUCCAGCACAAUUCUCAGAUUGGUUGACAUCAAGGUGAAGUUUCAAGUAUCAUCAACCCUCUGGUUUCAAGCAGUCUAAGGACUAUGCUCUUGUGGUCAGUAGUUUUCAUCUGGCAGGGGUCUACUUCCUAUAAAAACAACUUAGAAAUGUGUCAGGCUUUUAUCUCUAUCUUUCAGGGAAUUGUGAGUUCAGUGAUUCUGCCAUGUGGUGGAUUUAUGGUCUAAAUUGUGACCAGUUUCCCAACCCAAAAGCUAUUCUUUGUUUCUCCAUCCUCACAUAUCCUAACCACUAACUUUUGAUCUGGCUUUAAAGAAUUAAAGGAGGCCUAGAAGACUAAAGCACAAAUCUUUUAUUUCAAGGAUGGGCACACAGGAGCUUGUAUACAGUUUCAAUCCUUCCUUUUCUAUAAUACUUUUCAAUCUUUUUUUUUUCCUCAAAUAAUUUCUUUUUUUUUUGUCAUUUAGUCUUUUCUAGGGCCCCCCCUGCAGCAUAUGGAUAUUCCCAGGCUAUGGGUCUAAUCGGAGCUGUAGCUGCCAGCCUAUGCCAGCAACACAGGAUCUGAGCUGAAUCUGUGACCUAUACCACAGCUCACAGCAACGCUGGAUCCUUAACCCACUGAGUGAGGCCAGGGAUCGAACCUGCAACCUCAUGGUUCCUAGUCGGAUUCAUUAACCACUGAACCACAACAGGAACUCCAUAAAUUAAUUGUUUUAUUUUUAAAUGAUUUUUAUAUUUUACAUUGUAGUUGGUUUACCGUGUUCUGUCAGUUUUCUGCUGUACAGCCAAGUGACCCAGCCACACACACACAUAUGUAUAUAUAUUCUUUUUGUCACCCACCAUGCUCCAUCACAAGUGACUAGAUACAGUUCCCAGUGCUAUACAGCAGGAUCUCAUUGUACUCCUCAGUCUUAGUGGACACAUGUUCAGGAAAAGAAAGGGAGUACGUUUUGGAUAGAGAGGUUAACCAUAAACUCAGCAGAGGAACGCAGUUUUAGGAAGACUUGGUUUCACUAAGUUUACAUGUAUGAUCUCCUACUGUUGUCCAAACUAACCCAUAGAUGUUUUCCGUUAGAGCCUCCAUUGUAUGAACACAGGAAAGUGGAGAUUCCAGGAGAGUAAGUGAUAGGCCCACCACAACCAUACAGCUACUUAGAGUCAUGGUUGAACUCCAAAUCCUUAAAUUCAGAAGACCUUCUAGCAGGUAAUGAUAACAAAAAUGCUUCUCAUUCUAUCAGUUAUAAAAUGAGUCCCCAAACCUCCCAACGUGUGUUAGUAAUAUACACGUUUUUCGCUCUCCUUAGUUUAUACCUUCGUUACGGUUCUUGAAACCUAAAGGCCUUUGGCUAAAUCCAGUUGUUGAGGCAGUAGUGAGACCUGGAGGACCGUGCAAUGGCCGUGGUAGAGAGAGCGUGUUCUGGAGCCAUACUGGGGGAUUACCUGCUGUCUCUGACUGUGACUCAGGGCAUGUCCCCUGAACUCAUGAGUUUAGAUGUUUCCAUCCAUAAAACAGAGCGGUGAGGACUGAAUGAGGUAAAAUAUUUAAAAGUUUCAUAUAGAUGUCACAUAACAUGUAGUGAACAUACAGUCCAUAAAACCAUAAAUUCAUCACCUACAUCAUCACCUGUGAUAGACUUAAGUAUAAAUGUCUGAGUUUGCAACUUUUAAAAUGUGCAUAGUUUAAAAAGUCAGGUAAACUUGGGAUAUUAAGCAUCUCAACUGUAAACGAGAUAAUGUUGUUACUUGCCUAUGGGAAAUGAAGUAUGUGGAAAUGUUUUCUGAAACACAAAGUCCCAUACAAAUGUACGUGGUGUUUUGCUGAUGAUGAGCUGCCCGAGGCUCCUUCCCUGUCUCUGGCUUGAGAAUGCUCUGGAGAGGGAUGGAGCACCCCCAUAAUGGAGUGUUUGUUGCUCUGUGCUUGAAUGUAUUGCCUUGGGAUCCGCCAUAACACUCUUAGGCAUAUCCUGGUAUUUCAGAAAUGUUUAGAGCACCCGAAAAAGUAUUUCAGAAUGGUCAGCCAAGUUAAGGUAUGUUUAUCCAUUGUUGUUUCCUGUCUUUGUUAUGACGGGAGAAGUUCACAGCAGUUAAAAGUAUGUUUUAAAAUAAUGCCAUUUAUGAGCCAUCAGGAACGAGCAUUCAGAAUGUCUAACAGCUUCUGGGAACUCAGCCACACUGGAGAAUUGGAGAACCAUUGAGUGUAGGCUUUCAGAUCCACAACACCUUGUGAAUGAGCUCCACUUCUCUUUUCUUCCUGCUCAGUAAUAAAUGAUCUUGUUGUGAAGUGGGUAACAUGAAAGCAUAUGAGCCUCAGAGAUUGGGGUAUGUGACAGCUCCAAAUGAUGUUGUUUAAAAAAAAAGAGCAUUCUUUGUGUAAGUGUAAGUAUAAUCAAUGUGUAGUGACAGGUCAAGGUUGUGGAAAUUCAGAUUCUGUUUCUGUGGACCACAUUAAGCAUUAGAUACAGAAGUAACUGAUUUCUCUAUUGUACUACACCCUGCCAAAUGAUUAAUGUGCUCUUAGCUUAAAUAAUUGGGAGGGGUGGCACCUCAGGGAAUGCUAAAGAUAUUUUUAAUUGCUAUAUAAAUAUGUCAUUUCCUUAAUAAUUCAAGUUAUGCAUGGGAGGUUAUAGAAUACCAGAAGGCCUCCAGGCAUAAUGUAUUGCACCUAUGAGCUGAGUUGAAGGACUAACAGGACCCAGCUGAAGAUGAAAUAUUCUUUGCGAACUCUGUCUUAGCAAAUGAAGAAUAGACGCUGAAGCAUGUCGUUGCUUUAUAAAAGCAGAAUUAUUGUUUGGCAUAGAGUAUAUUCACUAAAUAAUCUUAUGAAAUGUUGGAAAGAACAUACAUGUUCUAUAACCAAAAAAAAAAAAGUGCCAUCCCAAGGGAAAUGAUUUGGGAGAAUUUCACAGGGUGAAGGAGAAAUGAACAUUGACUUUGGCAUGAAGCAAAGAUAACAAAUGGCAGAGGACAUUAAUUUCCUGUUGUCUGCCUUCACGUUACAGUCUCCAACUGACCUCAUCAAUGUUGAUAUCUCUGAAAGCAAAUAUUCAUUUAACUGUAGUUCUUGUGCUUUGCCCUUUAUGUUCUAACUUCUCUUCUUAGAGAAAGAGAGAAAGAAGGGAGCAAGAGUCUAAGUAAGAAUCAAAUGUUUGAAGUUGUGCUAAGUCAUCUUUUCAGGAUCAGCAGAUGUUGAUGGAUUAUCUAGUUAAUCUAAAAAGUUGGAUCUCACAUUCUGAGUCUGUAAAGAAGUCAUCUUUCAGUUUUGGGAUAAAUCCACUUUUUGUUGACAGCACCACUGACCUGUGAUUCUGAAUUACCAUCAGAAGCACUUGUAUGAUAGGGAGGCGAGGUGACUAUUGAGAUAUUGAAGACGUGAGUACAAGGACCAUUUGCUCUUUUAAAAAAUCUCCUGAUGAUAGUUUCCUUGAACAUCUCUGUUUGUGCCAUGGACCCUGGUUCAUUAACAGAAAGAUAAUCGAUAUAUUAUAUAUGGAAGGCAGAUUCAUUCAGUGACCAGGUGCCAAGCAAAUGGUGGUCUUUGGCAAACCCAGUAGUGCGAUAUGGACAGCAAUCAAAUUGCUAUCAGAUGUGCCCAAUCACUGAUCAUUAUUUUAUUUGCAAGGGCCUGGAGGUGACUUUUAAUGUAAAGCCAAAUAGAAUCAGAAAUCAAUUAAUGAGUGAUUGCUGUUUCUCCUACAAAUUGAUCUUGGAUUUGGCAGCCUGGAGAACUUAUUGUGCCAGAAUCCAUGCAUGAGCUACAUUAAAAUACAGCUAAGAGUUUAAAUCAGUUAAUUAGAUCAGUUCCUCUAACUUCUUCAAAAAGAGCCCUACUUUUUCUGAAGCAUAACUUCUAAUUUUCUUUACUCCCAUUCUUGGUAACUUUCCAUGAUUUUCUUAAUCUGUAGCAUUUAGUCGCUGACAAGGAAUGAUGGAGAUCUUUGUAUGUUACAUAUCUUCCUAAAUAUUUAUGAAAGGAAAACCUAAUAAAGACAUUAUUUUAGAAAUAUAAUAAUUUCAAUAUUUAGAAAUAUAAAAUAUUGAAGCCAUAAGGUUUCAAUACUAGCCUCAUAAAAAUCAGUGUUAGUUGUGAAUCUGUGAAAAUGGCAUCACAUGUACAUAUCUGAAAUGUUGAUAUGACUGUGAUGAAUGUGGGAGAGGAAGGAAGGUAAGAUCUUUAUUUAGAGUAAGCCUGUCAUAAUACUUGUACAUUGCUUCCCACCACCGUCCCCCAAGUGCCCGCACACAAACACUCAAAUAUGUGAAGAGACACAAAUUUCUGAAGCUUUUUCGUCUCCCAGCCUCUUCAAAGAUAAACUUCCCUCUUGUCUUAUUCCCAUGUUGGCUGCCUAAUCUGAAAGGCUUAGCAAAUUCUUCUUUUUGCAAGAUGUGUCUCUUUAAAAUGAUAGCCUAAAGGGCUUAUCUAAAGAUAAGCAUCUACCAGGAAUUCUUGAUCCUUUUUCCCACUGGUUAGAGGAGAUAUUCCUAUGUCCCCAAACUUGGGUUGCUCUUCAUCUCACCAGGAGACAGGAGGUAUACCUCAGAGAUCUUCUGAGAAGAUUGCAACUCUUGCUUAUGACAGCCUGGACUAACUCUAGAAGGGUCAAGCUCCAAGGACAUUCUCAACAUUGUGGACGUUGUUUGUUUUGUCUUCUGUACUGUAGCAUAAGGAUUAAGAGCAAAUACUCUGGAGCCACACUGCCAUUACUUUCUAACUAUGUGACCCUAGGCAAAUUAUUUAAGUUCUUCAUGUCUUAGUGUCCUUAUAAUAACAAUCCACAUACAUUGGAGAGUCGUCAUAUGACUAAAUGAAUUAAUAGUGCCUAGCACAUAGUAGUGCUAUAUCUAUGCAUAUUUCUCUUAUCUUUUUGAAAUUUCACAGGGUAAAAAAAAAAAAACCUCCAAGUUUAACAGUUUCUUUGAUGACACUUUUUUUUAGUAAUCUGUGGACAUGUAUUAUGGGUUAAUAGAUGAAAUCUAUUGCAUUGGAGUGGAUAAGCAAUGAGAUCCUGCUGUAUAGCACAGGGAACUAUAUCGAGUCACUUUUGAUGGAAGAUAUAUAACUGGGUCAUUUUGCUGUACAGUAGAAAUUGAUAACACUGUAAAUCAACUAUAAUGGAAAAAUAAAAAUCUAAAAAAUGAAAUAAAAUACUGUUUCAUGUAAUAUUGCUUUAGUUUGCUUAUUAUUUGCUGUGCUUCUUUUUGGUUCAUAGCUAGCCUCUAGUGCUUUAUAUUAACUGUUUGGAAAAGUAGGGCAAUGGAUCCCUAUUUGCAGCCUUGGUCCUUUUAGCACACACAGACUGAGUGUAUCCUCAGAUAUUUCUCAAAUACAGACAACAUCAGGUCACACAGUGAGGUUGGUUCCCAUUUCAAACCCUAUUUCACUCGACAUCUGUCUCAUCGCAUAACUGCUUAUCAUUUCUAUAUAAAAAUGAUAGAGUGGCAACAGAAUGCUCACAUAUUUACUCCAUCCACACAUUCAACAGAAAUUUAUUAAGGUCCUGACAACAGAAAUACAGCAGUGAGGAAGAGAUAAAGGUUCUACCUCUUAGAGCCUAUGGUCUGGUGGGAGAAGAAGGCACUGAACACACGUGAUAAAGGGACAUGUUGCAGCAAAGCAUAGGACAGGGACAGAGGAGACCUGCCUGAGAAAUGAAAUAUAACCUAAGCAGUGCCUUUACUCUGCUGUUGAUCUAAACUCUGAAGUGUUAUGGGUAUUUAUUUUCACAACAUCCUUAUAGACUACCUCCAAGCCCAUUUCUUGCUGUCUGUGGGUCACUGGAGACAGCUUGAACCAGUUCACUUUUAGGUAUUUUGCCAAUUGAGUCAGUUAUUAAACACACCCAUUAUUAAAAUUAGAUUUGCUUACAAAUUUACCAUUAAAUAAAUUAAAAUGUAAUGAGUACUCAAAAAUCAUCAUUUCUUAAUUACAUUUUACUGCAUUAUGUGGUUAUUUAUGUUCUGGAGGGUUUUUAGACCAUGGCAUCUAUAUGGAGGAAAUACUACAUAACAAUGUUCUUUUUUCAACUCUUUGUGCAGUGAAGUCAUUUUGUUAGGUAACAGCUUGAAAUUGGCCAUGGUGGGGAUACUUAAACCACAGCAAUUGACAAACAUACAAAUUAGGAGGGUCAUUGCUGCUUUGUUUUUUUGUGGACAGCCUGCUUUUAAAUAUUCCUUAACACAGUAUUGUUUUACUUCACUUCCUGACAUCCAGAACAUUUAUCUGCCUCCCUGGUCUGGCUAGCUUAUAUUAACAUGUUGUGUGAUGAACUCAAAGAAGGCAAAACCAGGGGACUGGUGACAUGGCUUCUAAUACCAAACUUUGUUGCUGGUGAGUUUCACAUUCUGGGCAUGUCACUUAAUAAAUGUCAGUUCUUGGCACUCCAAGAUGAAACAGAUAGACCUGACUCCUGCUUUUAAAGAGGCCAUAUUCUAAGGCCAGCAUAUGUCUUACUGAUUACAAUCAAUUCUGAUCUAAUGGUGCUUUGGGGAUAAGAUGGGGAACAUCUCAUAUUGGACACUUGAGAGGAUUUCAUUGAGAAUUUGGUCAGUGAAGCAGGAUCUUCGCAGAAUGUACUAGCUCUCAGUAGACAGAGGACCACCUUGGCAGGUGUGAUGUAGUCUUGCCUGAAUCAAGGAUGGGGAACUGCUGGGGCCUGCAAUAGUGGGCGAAACAGAAUUAGAAAUUAAUAACAGAUUGUGAUUGCAAUAGUAGUGGGAGGCCAAAAGAGGCUCUUUUUAACAAAAUUUUUAUUUGUUUCAUUAUAGCUGAUUUACAGUGUUCUGUCAAUUUUCUACUGUUCAAAAGAGUUAAAUGAUUUUUUUUACAAGUUGGGUCAUCAUCUCUUUUGCAUUUUAGCAUAUCAGCUUUGACACCUGCAAAAGGAAUGGAUAGAAAGGAUUGGCGUACCAGACAUAGCCAGGAUGUUAGAAGGGAGACUAUGGGUGGGUGUGGAGCCUGAAAUAGGUAAGUGGUAGUGACCACUGCUUUCUUCAUCCAGAAAAAGGACAAAUGUUUCCCCUGACCGGGGCCAUAUUAUAAUUUUGAAGACUCUACACACUUUAGCUUUUGUGGGCUCCUGGCUUCACAAAAAUGCAUCAAAAUUUUAUUCUGCUACAGUGUUGGUAUAAAAACCAGUAGGCUAAUAAUACAUAUAAAUUAUCUUAUUCUACCUAAAAGCCCAUUUAUUUCCUUCUGAUUUUAAAAGAAAGGAAACCAUUGUUGUGGGCCUUUAAAAUUAUUGUGGACCUUUGGCUCUGGGCGUUAAAAUGGGGAUGUCAGUUCUGCCUCUGCUCCAUUCAUAAAGUUGGUAAACAAAUGAAGGAACAGUUAGGUAAGCUCUUGGAAGAUUAACACAGUACAAACUUAGUCUUUUUAGAAUUCUUGUAGUAUAGAUAAGCUUGCAUAAUCCCACGGUGGUGGUCAUUUCUUUGUUAAUUGUCUUUAUCACUUGUUUAGAAAUCACAACACUGUUUUUCAAGAGGUUUGUCGUUUCUUUACUCACUGGAUAACAACAUGUGUGAUUGUGCAAGGGGUGUGCAAGACAGGUGUGGGUGCAUUGUGGAAGUAAAGGGAGACCAACCAAAUGGGAACAAGCAGAGGCUAUUUAUUCAGAGCUUCCUGCAGCAAGGGAGUUGGCCGCCCUCACCUGUGUUUUGGCAGAGACUCAAAGGCAGGCGGGAAAGUAGCAAAAAUUUCAGCAUGCCUCCUUUGGAGGCUAUUUUCCCAAAGAAUUUGUAGGCAGACUACCUCUGGGCCAGGCAUCUGUGUAAUUGGUUAGGGGGACUUAUUUGGCUUUUUUUGGUUUGUUCUAAAUUGGAAAUGGAGACAGAAUGAGAGAAGCUAUCAGUUAUUGAUUAAGUCUUGGCUAUUUGGGGCUGAUUGUUCAGUUACUGUUUAGCCUCUUGCAUUAUCACUAGAGCUAGCAGGCUGGCUUGCUGCGAAUUUGAUUUAUAGCCAGACUGGCUUCCUGAGUGUGUUAUUGUAAAUUCCUGGACAGGUUGCUGUGAUUGUGGGUCUUUGUAUGUAUGGUCUGGUCAUUGUCUGCUUGUAUAGACAGUAUUUCACCAUGGACCAUGUCCUGAGCUAAACUGUACCUCCAGUCCUCUUCAUCUCUCUCUCAAGAAGGUACUCAACAUUUAUGGAGAACAACUGUGUCGUAGAGAGUUUAGGUGAUUGGGUAGCAAGAGGCAGAGUUUCAAGUUCGUGUGUGUCUGUUUCCAAAGCCUGGGGGUUUAUAGCUUCCUUACUUGCAAAGUGAGGAGACUGACUCAAUAAUCUCCAGAGUCUAUUCUUGGUCAAAUUCACUGAUUCCAAACCAGGUCACAAGAGUUUCUCUUCUCAGUCAUCACCUUAGUUGGUCCACCAGAGCAACUGUUGCCUGCCAACCCAGUGACGUCAUGACUUGAAUCAGGGCAUAUCCACAGGACCUUGUGGAGGUUCAUCUUUCCUUACCUCGAAUUUGUAAACAAAAGUGAAGUCCCCCUACCUGGCCAGCUGAACACUUCCCAGGAAGCAAGCUCCCUGAAGGAGGUAGGCUUCCCCAUGUUCCCAACCACAGCAGGACAUUUUCCCCUGGAACAAUUCAUGCACAGAGAGAUAUUCGGUGUGGGCGAAGAGAAUGCACCAUCAUGUCAUUCAGUCAUGCCUGGGAUUCCUCAGCUUCUCCCCAGUGCAGAGAAAUGAUUAAUGUCUUGGGACAAACGCCAAGAAAAUCAUGAAAAUAGCAAAAAUAUUUCGACUGCAGUUGUAGAGCACAUAAACUUGUCACUAGAGUGAUGAGAAAACUGCUGGGUUGCCUCUCAUUAGCAGCAAAAUAUUUUAUUUAUAUACGUGGCUUUGUGAGAAUUUUUAUUAUUGCAGCACAGAGGGUAUCUGGAGGGCUUUUGGCUUAGGGAAGUGGGAUGAUGGAGAGAAAUUAAGAGGAGAUGUUUCAUGCCCUUGUUGGGAUGCCCAGCUGUGGGACACUGAACCCUUGCCAACAUAUUGAUUGAUGACUAUUUAUUGAGCGUUCAUGAGUGUGGAGCAUGGUAGAUACAUUAUGAUAUGGGACUUGCUGACUUCUGGAUGGUAUGGUUGAAACUGUUUCAAGAGGCAGGCAUGUGUGAAAAACAAAAGAAGGGAGAGUGUCUUUUCACAAUACUCAUGAUAGCUUAUCUUAGUAUGUUGCCAGACCUCUUGCAUUUAGCUGUCUGUGCAUUAUUCCCUUUAACCUUCACUGUGACUCCAGAGGUAGGUUACUCAUGCAAUUCCUAUUUUGAGAUAAUUGAGCUUUGGAGAGGUUACAUGACUUAGCAGUGCCUAUUGGUAGUAAGAGAUAAAACUAGGCCUCAGCCCAAAUAUUCCGACACCCAUGCUUAAGCACUAACCACCAAGUUCUACUGCCUCCCCAAACAAAGAAUGUCUCAGCACCACACACACACACCGUUUUUUUUGGAAAGGGGUUUACGGGUCAUUUCCACCUGAGGCUUUCUAACUGUCCUACAGGAGUCUGAGGGGUUUGCUAAGAAGCCCAGAGGAAAGGACACUGACCAAAUUCCCACCCCUGUGUCAAGCUGAGUGGAUUGGCACUUGACUUAUGUAUUUAAUAUCUCUAGAUAAAUUCUUUAGAGAGCCAGUUCCUUUGGAGGGUGGGGAAUGAACAAAGUUUAAAAGAACAAAGGUAUAAGUUCUAGUUUAUUGUAUUCAUUUUAGAGUAGGGAUUGGCCAACUUGUUUAUAAAGGGCCAGAUAGUAAAAGUUUUAGGCUUGUAAGGCCUGUACAUGAUUUUUAAAA
Molecule: non-coding RNA, 12281 nt
Organism: Sus scrofa (pig)
Lineage: Eukaryota; Metazoa; Chordata; Mammalia; Artiodactyla; Suidae
Source: RefSeq, a predicted model, not a curated record